GGGUCUCUAGCUCAGUAGUAGAGCAGCUGACUGCAGAUCAGCAGGUCUCCUAUUCAAACCCGGAGGGGCCCU
This 72-nucleotide transfer RNA is filed under the name Pleodorina starrii. Its description in RNAcentral is "tRNA-Cys". It matches the Rfam family "tRNA". Rfam says of the family: Transfer RNA (tRNA) molecules are approximately 80 nucleotides in length. Their secondary structure includes four short double-helical elements and three loops (D, anti-codon, and T loops). Further hydrogen bonds mediate the characteristic L-shaped molecular structure. tRNAs have two regions of fundamental functional importance: the anti-codon, which is responsible for specific mRNA codon recognition, and the 3' end, to which the tRNAs corresponding amino acid is attached (by aminoacyl-tRNA synthetases). tRNAs cope with the degeneracy of the genetic code in two manners: having more than one tRNA (with a specific anti-codon) for a particular amino acid; and 'wobble' base-pairing, i.e. permitting non-standard base-pairing at the 3rd anti-codon position. Lineage: Eukaryota; Viridiplantae; Chlorophyta; Chlorophyceae; Chlamydomonadales; Volvocaceae. The record is from RNAcentral.